UUUUUUUAACUAACAAUUUUUAUUUCUUUUUGAUUAUUUAGGAGUUGUUGGCCAUGGAAUUCAAUGAUUGGCCACAAGAAGAAGAUGAUGAGCCAUAUAUAGAGCCACCAUUUGAUGAGAGUGUUCUUACACCGGAACAAAAGGUGAAGUUGGAUGAACUUUACAUGGAGAAUCCAACAUUGACAAGGAGUGACUUAGCGACUAU
Molecule: long non-coding RNA, 205 nt
Filed under: Capsella rubella
Lineage: Eukaryota; Viridiplantae; Streptophyta; Magnoliopsida; Brassicales; Brassicaceae
Description: long non-coding RNA (CRUB_LNC000712)
Source: RNAcentral